AUUGAACGCUGGCGGCAGGCCUAACACAUGCUAGUCGAACGGUAACAGGAAGAAGCUUGCUUCUUUGCUGACGAGUGGCGGACGGGUGAGUAAUGUCUGGGAAACUGCCUGAUGGAGGGGGAUAACUACUGGAAACGGUAGCUAAUACCGCAUAACGUCGCAAGACCAAAGAGGGGGACCUUCGGGCCUCUUGCCAUCGGAUGUGCCCAGAUGGGAUUAGCUAGUAGGUGGGGUAACGGCUCACCUAGGCGACGAUCCCUAGCUGGUCUGAGAGGAUGACCAGCCACACUGGAACUGAGACACGGUCCAGACUCCUACGAGAGGCAGCAGUGGGGAAUAUUGCACAAUGGGCGCAAGCAUGAUGCAGCCAUGCCGCGUGUAUGAAGAAGGCCUUCGGGUUGUAAAGUACUUUCAGCGGGGAGGAAGGGAGUAAAGUUAAUACCUUUGCUCAUUGACGUUACCCGCAGAAGAAGCACCGGCUAACUCCGUG
Molecule: ribosomal RNA, 490 nt
Filed under: uncultured bacterium
Lineage: Bacteria
Description: partial 16S ribosomal RNA
Rfam family: Bacterial small subunit ribosomal RNA
Source: RNAcentral